This 769-nucleotide long non-coding RNA is filed under the name Populus trichocarpa (black cottonwood). Its description in RNAcentral is "long non-coding RNA (PTRI_LNC003547)". The record is from RNAcentral. Lineage: Eukaryota; Viridiplantae; Streptophyta; Magnoliopsida; Malpighiales; Salicaceae.
UCGUUGCGAUCAAAAUGACGGGUUGAGCAUUUAAUUAGGGCGGCGCUAGUGAUGGCUUCUGCUUCUUCAUUUGGCUUCUUACUCAGCAUUCACUUUACAUGAUAUGCCUGGGAAGAUAAAGAGUUGGCAGAGCCUUCUAAAAUUCCUGGAACGGGGUGAAAGAUGUUAGACAAUUGACAUUUUAACUCUAGUGUUUCAGUUUGUCUAAUUGUUAUUCAAUCAAGUAUUGUCUAUUUUCUUUUCUUUCAUUUCUGUUUUGAUUUGGUCAAAGUAAAUCCCUUGUUUUUCUGAAGUUGUUGCUGAGUUAGUGGCAGCACAUUGUCCACUACAGAGUUGGUGGCAGCACAUUGUCCACUACAGAGUUAGUGGCAGAUAACUAGGAAAGUUUGUUAAGUUUUCUCAUGUAUUUAAAGACAUGAAGUUAAGGAAAUACUUACUGAGACAUUUUAUCAAACACCUUGUGUGUAGUUCGUGUUCUUCAAUACUCAGCAUUGUUGUUCUUGAUUGUGCAUCCCUUCACCUGCACAAAACACAGCAACAUAAUUCUUAACAGUGGUAUCAGAGCCCUCUUAGAUCUUACAGGACCAAAACACCUUUUUCAAAAUCUCAAAAUGACAUCCAACAACCUACUUUUAAACUCCCCCAUUAUAUUCACUGGCGAAAACUACCACAUUUGGUCAGUGAAGAUGCAAGCUUUUCUUGAAGCUUAUGAUCUUUGGGAAAUUGUUUCCGAAGACAAACCAGUAGCUCCCUUACCAACAAAUCCCAC